This 424-nucleotide ribosomal RNA is filed under the name Ascaris suum (pig roundworm). RNAcentral's name for it is "partial small subunit ribosomal RNA". The record is from RNAcentral. Lineage: Eukaryota; Metazoa; Nematoda; Chromadorea; Rhabditida; Ascarididae.
UUGUUUUUUUAGGGUGAAAUCGGGAAUUUUUAUUGAUAAUGCUCUAAUCUUUAAGAUUUGGUGAAUGAAUCAGAUUAGUACCUGAUUAAACAAAAAUUAAAAGAGCAGGAGUAAAGUUGUAUUUAAACUGUAAGAAUAUUGGCAGGUUUUUAAAUUAUCUUUGGAGGUUGAGUAGUAAUUGAGAACCCUCAUUAACAACUUUUACUGUAGGCGCAUGUAUGAUCGUUUAUUUUAUUCUUAAGGAUUGUAAUUUUAGAUUAAUUUAUUUUCUGUAAAAAUAGAUAAAUACUUGGUGUAUGUAAAAGAUUUAAUUUGACCUACAAUAUGCUAUCUUGUGGAUACUUUUUUAGUAGAAGGUUGAAAAUGUAAAAGACAGUAAGUUUUUUUUUAUAUAAAGCUGAAGUUUAUUUAAAAACGGCACAAA